Molecule: ribosomal RNA, 229 nt
Filed under: uncultured bacterium
Lineage: Bacteria
Description: partial 16S ribosomal RNA
Rfam family: Bacterial small subunit ribosomal RNA
Source: RNAcentral
UCCGUAGGCGGGCAAUUAAGUCAGAGGUGAAAUCCCACGGCUCAACUGUGGAACUGCCUUUGAUACUGGUUGUCUUGAGUUAUAGUGAAGUAGAUAGAAUAUGUAGUGUAGCGGUGAAAUGCAUAGAUAUUACAUAGAAUACCGAUUGCGAAGGCAGUCUACUAACUGUAUACUGACGCUAAUGGACGAAAGCGUGGGGAGCGAACAGGAUUAGAUACCCUGGUAGUCC